CCAGGAUUACGCCAGCUGACCAACUCGGCUCGACCUUCUCUGAUAAACGCAUGGCACCGAUGCUGCCAACCGCAUGCUGGCCGCACGGCUGGGUUUCAGUGAGAUAGAACCUUUGAUCACACGCCUUACCAGUCUCUUGUGGCAUGGCGGCCCUGCAGCUUGCCGCCCUCCUUGCCCUGCUGCUCGCGCUGUGGCGUCUCGUGUGGCGGCCGCGCGCCGUGGCGCGGUCGUUCGCGAGGCAGGGGAUCCGAGGGCCGCCCUACACGUUCCUGGCCGGGUCCUUGCCGGAGGCGAAGCGGCUGCUGAUCGCUGGCCGGAGAGGCGUGCCGCCCCUCUGACGCCGGGUGCCACGACAUCAUGCCCAUCCUGCUGCCGCAGUUCCACAGAUGGGUCGCUGAUUAUGGCAAAACGUUCCUGUUCUGGAUCGGGCCGAUCCCCGCCAUCUUCUCUAUCGACCUGCAGCUGAUAAAGCAAGUGCUCACAGACAGGACGGGCCUGUAUCAGAAGGACUUCAUGAUCCCCGUGCUCAAAUCCCUCUUCGGCAACGGCGUCAUAUUGAUAAAUGGUGACGAUUGGAAGCGGCACCGGAAAGUAGUCCUUCCUGCUUUCAACUAUGAGAAGAUCAAGAGCAUGUCAGCGGUGACGGCAGAGGUCACAAGGCAGAUGAUACAGCAAUGGGGUGAGCAGAUACACCAAAGCAACAGCGACAAGAAAGCAGCUGAGAUAGACAUGAUCCACGCCUUCAACGACCUGACUGCCAAGAUCAACGGCCGCGUCGCCUUCGGCACUACCCACCGGGAUGCCGAGGAGGUCAUCGUCUUGAUGCGGGAGAUGCAAAAGAUCGCCACUGCGGCCAUGCUCGAUGCUCCAAUACUCUGGUAUCUGCCAACUCGGCGUAACUUGCACGUUCGACGCCUGAACAAACAGCUGAGAAGCAAGAUCAUGUCGAUCAUGCAGGCACGGCUGGCCGCAGAUGGAGCCAAAUAUGGUCGAGGAGACACCGGCGGCUGCGGGGACGACCUGCUCGGGCUGUUGUUAGAGGCGUGGACACCGCACCGGCAAGUGAGGGGCGGCGAUACGCUGACAACUGACGAGGUGAUUGAUGAGUGCAAAACCUUCUUCGCCGCAGGGCAGGAAACCACGGCCACCCUCCUCGUCUGGGCCAUGUUCCUGCUUGCCGUGCACCCCCAGUGGCAGGACAAGGUCAGGGAAGAGGUCCUCCGGGAGUUCCCCGGCGGGGACAGCGACGAUGUGGUACCCAACGCGGAUGUUCUCGCCAAACUGAAGCUGCUACACAUGGCAUUGCUCGAGACAUCGCGUCUCUACCCUCCAGUUGUGUACAUACAACGGAAAGCUGCCUCCGACACCGUCCUCGGAGGCAUCAAAGUACCCCAGGGAACAAUCAUAUCAAUCCCCAUUGGCAUGCUACAUCGAGACAAGGAAGUUUGGGGCCCCGACGCCAACGAGUUCAACCCCAUGAGGUUCGAGCAGGGCGUCACAAAGGCUGCCAAAGACUCCAAGGCGCUCUUGACUUUCUCUCUAGGCCCGAGAGUGUGUACUGGUCAGAACUUUGGCAUCGUGCAAGUGCAGGUUGUCAUGGCAAUGAUCCUCAGCAAGUUCUCCAUAUCCCUCUCCCCGGCAUAUGUUCACAAGCCAAAGUAUCUUCUGUCUUUGACACCCAGGCUAGGGAUGCCUCUCAUUUUGAGGAAUCUACUAUAGAUGGGUGAGAAAGUUUGCUAAUUAAACUCAUUGUAACGCAUGAGAGUAAAUUCAUUAUAAUUUCAGUGUCUUGCUUAUGGUACGACAUUCUACAUAAUCGAUUUGGAGAUGUAACCAAUUAUGCAUGCAGAGAUCAUAUCAACUUGGAGUAAUAGACGAAUCUUCU
RNAcentral lists this ribosomal RNA (1885 nucleotides) under Triticum aestivum (bread wheat). Its description in RNAcentral is "partial small subunit ribosomal RNA". The record is from RNAcentral. Lineage: Eukaryota; Viridiplantae; Streptophyta; Magnoliopsida; Poales; Poaceae.